AGUGAACGCUGGCGGCGUGCCUAAUACAUGCAAGUCGAACGGAAUUUAAAAGAGCGUGCUCUUUUAAAUUUAGUGGCGCACGGGUGAGUAAUAUAUAGCUAAUCUGCCCCUUGCUGGAGGACAACAGUUAGAAAUGACUGCUAAUACUCCAUACUCCUUUUUACCAUAAGAUAAAUCGGGAAAGAAUUUCGGCAAGGGAUGAGACUAUAUCGUAUCAGCUAGUCGGUGGGGUAACGGCCUACCGAGGCUAUGACGCGUAACUGGUCUGAGAGGAUGAUCAGUCACAUUGGAACUGAGACACGGUCCAAACUCCUACGGGAGGCAGCAGUAGGGAAUAUUGCGCAAUGGGGGAAACCCUGACGCAGCAACGCCGCGUGGAGGAUGACACUUUUCGGAGCGUAAACUCCUUUUGUUAGGGAAGAAUAAUGACGGACCUAACGAAUAAGCACCGCA
RNAcentral lists this ribosomal RNA (453 nucleotides) under Campylobacter gracilis. RNAcentral describes it as "bacterial SSU rRNA". It matches the Rfam family "Bacterial small subunit ribosomal RNA", at positions 29 to 497 of the family's 1533-position model. Lineage: Bacteria; Pseudomonadati; Campylobacterota; Epsilonproteobacteria; Campylobacterales; Campylobacteraceae. The record is from RNAcentral.